GAUGAACGCUGGCGGCGUGCCUAAUACAUGCAAGUCGAGCGAACGGACGAGAAGCUUGCUUCUCUGAUGUUAGCGGCGGACGGGUGAGUAACACGUGGAUAACCUACCUAUAAGACUGGGAUAACUUCGGGAAACCGGAGCUAAUACCGGAUAAUAUUUUGAACCGCAUGGUUCAAAAGUGAAAGACGGUCUUGCUGUCACUUAUAGAUGGAUCCGCGCUGCAUUAGCUAGUUGGUAAGGUAACGGCUUACCAAGGCAACGAUGCAUAGCCGACCUGAGAGGGUGAUCGGCCACACUGGAACUGAGACGCGGUCCAGACUCCUACGGGAGGCAGCAGUAGGGAAUCUUCCGCAAUGGGCGAAAGCCUGACGGAGCAACGCCGCGUGAGUGAUAAAGGUCUUCGGAUCGUAAAACUCUGUUAUUAGGGAAGAACAUAUGUGUAAGUAACUGUGCACAUCUUGACGGUACCUAAUCAGAAAGCCACGGCUAACUACGUG
Molecule: ribosomal RNA, 497 nt
Filed under: uncultured bacterium
Lineage: Bacteria
Description: partial 16S ribosomal RNA
Rfam family: Bacterial small subunit ribosomal RNA
Source: RNAcentral